Molecule: ribosomal RNA, 253 nt
Filed under: uncultured bacterium
Lineage: Bacteria
Description: partial 16S ribosomal RNA
Rfam family: Bacterial small subunit ribosomal RNA
Source: RNAcentral
UACGUAGGUGGCGAGCGUUGUCCGGAUUUACUGGGCGUAAAGAGCGCGCAGGCGGUCGUUCAAGUCGCGUGUGAAAGCCCCCGGCUCAACUGGGGAGGGUCACGCGAUACUGAUCGACUCGAAGGCAGGAGAGGGUAGUGGAAUUCCCGGUGUAGUGGUGAAAUGCGUAGAGAUCGGGAGGAACAUCCGUGGCGAAGGCGACUACCUGGACCAGCACUGACACUGAGGCACGAAAGCGUGGGGAGCAAACAGG